GACGAACGCUGGCGGCGCGCCUAACACAUGCAAGUCGAACGAGAGAUGAGGAGCUUGCUCUUCAAAUCGAGUGGCGAACGGGUGAGUAACGCGUGAGGAACCUGCCUCAAAGAGGGGGACAACAGUUGGAAACGACUGCUAAUACCGCAUAAGCCCACGGCUCGGCAUCGAGCAGAGGGAAAAGGAGCAAUCCGCUUUGAGAUGGCCUCGCGUCCGAUUAGCUAGUUGGUGAGGUAACGGCCCACCAAGGCGACGAUCGGUAGCCGGACUGAGAGGUUGAACGGCCACAUUGGGACUGAGACACGGCCCAGACUCCUACGGGAGGCAGCAGUGGGGAAUAUUGCACAAUGGGGGAAACCCUGAUGCAGCGACGCCGCGUGGAGGAAGAAGGUCUUCGGAUUGUAAACUCCUGUUGUUGAGGAAGAUAAUGACGGUACUCAACAAGGAAGUGACGGCUAACUACGUGCCAGCAGCCGCGGUAAAACGUAGGUCACAAGCGUUGUCCGGAAUUACUGGGUGUAAAGGGAGCGCAGGCGGGAGAACAAGUUGGAAGUGAAAUCCAUGGGCUCAACCCAUGAACUGCUUUCAAAACUGUUUUUCUUGAGUAGUGCAGAGGUAGGCGGAAUUCCCGGUGUAGCGGUGGAAUGCGUAGAUAUCGGGAGGAACACCAGUGGCGAAGGCGGCCUACUGGGCACCAACUGACGCUGAGGCUCGAAAGUGUGGGUAGCAAACAGGAUUAGAUACCCUGGUAGUCCACACCGUAAACGAUGAUUACUAGGUGUUGGAGGAUUGACCCCUUCAGUGCCGCAGUUAACACAAUAAGUAAUCCACCCUGGG
This 837-nucleotide ribosomal RNA is filed under the name uncultured bacterium. RNAcentral describes it as "bacterial SSU rRNA". It matches the Rfam family "Bacterial small subunit ribosomal RNA", at positions 28 to 878 of the family's 1533-position model. The record is from RNAcentral.